Small nucleolar RNA from Sinocyclocheilus rhinocerous, 74 nucleotides. Its record names the gene SNORD82. It matches the Rfam family "Small nucleolar RNA SNORD82". Rfam says of the family: snoRNA U82 or Z25 is found in both humans and mice. U82/Z25 is a member of the C/D class of snoRNA which contain C (UGAUGA) and D (CUGA) box motifs. Most of the members of the box C/D family function in directing site-specific 2'-O-methylation of substrate RNAs. The record is from Ensembl. Lineage: Eukaryota; Metazoa; Chordata; Actinopteri; Cypriniformes; Cyprinidae.
ACUACAUAUGAUGAUUAAAAGGGACUUAAUACUGAAAUAUGUGAUGUCACCUUUUAUAUUAAUUCUGAUGCUGG